Molecule: ribosomal RNA, 422 nt
Filed under: uncultured bacterium
Lineage: Bacteria
Description: partial 16S ribosomal RNA
Rfam family: Bacterial small subunit ribosomal RNA
Source: RNAcentral
AAUCUUCCGCAAUGGACGCAAGGCUGACGGAGCAACGCCGCGUGAGUGAUGAAGGUUUCGGAACGGAAAAACCUUGUUGUAGGGAAGGAAAAAGAAGCGGAGUAACUCCCGGUACCUGACGGUAACUUAACUGAAAACCUCGGCUUAACUACUUCCAACCAGCCGCGGUAAUACGUAGGUGGCAAGCGUUGUCCGGAUUUAUUGGGCGUAAAGCGCGCGCAGGCGGUCUUUUAAGUCUGAUGUGAAAUCUUACAGCUUAACUGUAAGCGGUCAUUGGAAACUGGGAGACUUGAGUGCAGAAGAGGAGAGUGGAAUUCCAUGUGUAGCGGUGAAAUGCGUAGAGAUAUGGAGGAACACCAGUGGCGAAGGCGACUCUCUGGUCUGUAACUGACGCUGAGGCGCGAAAGCGUGGGGAUCAAACA